CUGACCUGCCCACUGAAUAUUGUUUAAAGGGCCGCAGUAUUUUGACUGUGCAAAGGUAGCAUAAUCAUUAGUCUUUUAAUUGAAGGCUGGUAUGAAUGGUUGGAUGAGAUACAAGCUGUGUCAUAAAAAUUAAUAUUUGAACUUACCUUUUUAGUCAAAAGGCUAAAAUAAUCUUAAAAGACGAGAAGACCCCAUAGAGCUUUAUAUAAUUAAUAUUUAAAUUAUUAAGAUUUUUAAAAUUUAAUUAUUAAAUUAUAUUUUGUUGGGGUGACAAUAAAAUUAAUAAAACUUUUAUUUUUAAUUAACAUUGAUUUAUGAGUAAAUGAUCCAGUUUUAUUGAUUAUAAAUUUAAGUUACCUUGGGGAUAACAGCGUAAUUUUUUUUGAGAGUUCUUAUCGACAAAAAAGAUUGCGACCUCGAUGUUGGAUUAAGAGUAAUUUUGGGUGUAGAAGUUCAAAGUNUUAAGUCUGUUCGACUUUUAAAUUCUU
RNAcentral lists this ribosomal RNA (488 nucleotides) under Simulium silvestre. RNAcentral describes it as "partial 16S ribosomal RNA". It matches the Rfam family "Bacterial large subunit ribosomal RNA", at positions 1854 to 2597 of the family's 2925-position model. Lineage: Eukaryota; Metazoa; Arthropoda; Insecta; Diptera; Simuliidae. The record is from RNAcentral.